This 71-nucleotide transfer RNA is filed under the name Loxodonta africana (African savanna elephant). It matches the Rfam family "tRNA". Rfam says of the family: Transfer RNA (tRNA) molecules are approximately 80 nucleotides in length. Lineage: Eukaryota; Metazoa; Chordata; Mammalia; Proboscidea; Elephantidae. The record is from Rfam by way of RNAcentral.
GCAGUGGUGGUUCAGCAGUAGAAUUCUCACUUUCCAUGUGAGAGACCAGGGUUCGAUUCCUGGCCAAUGCA